RNAcentral lists this ribosomal RNA (354 nucleotides) under Triticum aestivum (bread wheat). RNAcentral's name for it is "partial small subunit ribosomal RNA". Lineage: Eukaryota; Viridiplantae; Streptophyta; Magnoliopsida; Poales; Poaceae. The record is from RNAcentral.
AUGUGUCUUCAGUGGCAGGGCCGGAAGUGGGAGGCACGGGAUUGUGAAUACAAUGGCGGGAAAAAGCUCACUAUUGGAUGGAAACAGUUUGUAGAGGACAACAAGCUGAAGAUGGGUGAUAUCUGCCUCUUUAAACUGUUGAGCAAUGAGAGAACCAUGAAGGUCUAUAUCAUCAGUGAAAACGUUGCCAAUUAUCGGGCAGGUCUCCAGAAUGACGCUGACCGGGAAGCGGUGUUCCGGAGAGGGGCUCAUCAUGUGGAAGGAGCGUGUGAUCCUGACUCAAGGUUCCUUCGCAUAACUAAAACUGAAGCUAUGGAAGAUGAUGUUGUUUUUAAAACUGAAGACGGUGCCUGA